GGAACAGCCUCUCAUGCCUACACACAAAAAAAACAACUGCAAGCUCUGGUUGAUGGAAAUAAACAGUCUUCUCAGCAUCUUCACCAGGAGUAGAUUCCAUCCCAAGAAAUCACUGUCAAGCUUCCCUGGUGGCUCAGUGGUGAAAAAAAAAAAAAAAAAAAUCCACUUGCCAAUGCACGAGACACGGAUUUGAUCGCUGAUUCCAGGAAGAUGCCACAUGCCUUGGAGCAGCUAAGCCCGUGUAUACUACAGCUGUUGAGCCUGUGCUCUAGAGCCUGGGAGCUGCAACUAGUGAGCCCACGUGUCACAACUACUGAAACCUUCACGUCCUGGAGCCCAGGCUGUGCAACAAGAGCAGCCGCUGCAAUGAGGAACCCGAGCACCACAGCUAGAGAAAGCCCUUGGGCAGCAAUGAAGACCCAGCACAGCCAAGAAUCAAAUACAUAAUGAAAUAAAAUUGUUUUAGAAAGAAAUCACUUUCUUCCCUCAUUCAUAAGAAGCAACUCUUCACCCACUAAAAUUUUAAAUUGAUGUUACAGCAAUUUAGUCGCAUUGUCAGGCUGCAUUUCUAAUUCUGCUUCUCUUGCAGUUUUCAUCACAUCUGCAAUUACUUCCUCCACGGAAGUCUUGAACUCCUCAAAGUCAUCCAUGACUGUUGGAAUCAACUUCGUCUAAACUCCUGUUAAUGC
Bos taurus (domestic cattle) is the source of this 689-nucleotide long non-coding RNA. The record is from Ensembl. Lineage: Eukaryota; Metazoa; Chordata; Mammalia; Artiodactyla; Bovidae.